RNAcentral lists this ribosomal RNA (336 nucleotides) under uncultured bacterium. RNAcentral describes it as "bacterial SSU rRNA". It matches the Rfam family "Bacterial small subunit ribosomal RNA", at positions 344 to 692 of the family's 1533-position model. The record is from RNAcentral.
GGAGGCAGCAGUGGGGAAUAUUGCACAAUGGGCGAAAGCCUGAUGCAGCAACGCCGCGUGCGGGAUGACGGCCUUCGGGUUGUAAACCGCUUUCAGUAGGGACGAAGGGUGACUGACGGUACCUACAGAAGAAGGACCGGCUAACUACGUGCCAGCAGCCGCGGUGAUACGUAGGGUCCGAGCGUUGUCCGGAAUUAUUGGGCGUAAAGGGCUUGUAGGCGGUUCGUCGCGUCAGAAGUGAAAACUCAGGGCUUAACCCUGAGCCUGCUUUUGAUACGGGCGGACUAGAGGGAUGCAGGGGAGAACGGAAUUCCUGGUGGAGCGGUGGAAUGCGCA